AGCUCACUGCAGCCUCAAACACCUGGACUCAAGUGAUUCUUCCCUCUCAGCCUCCCAAGUAGCUGGGACUACAGACACGAUGAACCUUUUCUAAAGGGGUCAUACUCAGAUAGAUAGAGUCUCAAUUCCAGAGACCUCCAGUCAGGGUUGAGCAUUAGACUGAGUCACAGUGCCUCUCAAGUCCAGCACAGUGGCACUGUCUGCCCAGCUAGAGGACUGUGUUUGCCACUGCGUACACAUCUGCACCUGACUGGUCAGUGUCCUCUCCACAACACCCCUCAUCAGUGUGGGUUUAAUGGGCCUCGCUGGCUGGGUCCACCACGAGCUGCCCAGGUACCAUAUCUCAGCUCAAUGGGAGG
This 359-nucleotide long non-coding RNA is filed under the name Pan troglodytes (chimpanzee). RNAcentral's name for it is "long non-coding RNA NONPTRT003220". Lineage: Eukaryota; Metazoa; Chordata; Mammalia; Primates; Hominidae. The record is from RNAcentral.